Molecule: ribosomal RNA, 253 nt
Filed under: uncultured bacterium
Lineage: Bacteria
Description: partial 16S ribosomal RNA
Rfam family: Bacterial small subunit ribosomal RNA
Source: RNAcentral
UACGAAGGGGGCUAGCGUUGCUCGGAAUCACUGGGCGUAAAGCGCACGUAGGCGGCUUCUUAAGUCAGACGUGAAAUCCCUCAGCUUAACUGGGGAACUGCGUCUGAUACUGGUUGGCUUGAGUGCAGGAGAGGAACGCGGAAUUCCAGGUGUAGCGGUGAAAUGCGUAGAUAUCUGGAGGAACACCGGUGGCGAAGGCGGCGUUCUGGACUGCAACUGACACUGAGGAACGAAAGCCAGGGGAGCAAACGGG